CCGCAAGGGGAGCGGCAGACGGGUGAGUAACGCGUGGGAACGUACCCCCCGGUUCGGAAUAACUCAGGGAAACUUGAGCUAAUACCGGAUACGGCGACCAAGAGAGAUCUUGGAGGCGAAAGAUUUAUCGCCGGGGGAUCGGCCCGCGUCCGAUUAGCUAGUUGGUGUGGUAAUGGCGCACCAAGGCGACGAUCGGUAGCUGGUCUGAGAGGAUGAUCAGCCACAUUGGGACUGAGACACGGCCCAAACUCCUACGGGAGGCAGCAGUGGGGAAUAUUGGACAAUGGGCGAAAGCCUGAUCCAGCCAUGCCGCGUGAGUGAUGAAGGCCUUAGGGUUGUAAAGCUCUUUCACCCACGACGAUAAUGACGGUAGUGGGAGAAGAAGCCCCGGCUAACUUCGUGCCAGCAGCCGCGGUAAUACGAAGGGGGCUAGCGUUGUUCGGAAUUACUGGGCGUAAAGCGCGUGUAGGCGGGCUUUUAAGUCAGGGGUGAAAUGCCAAGGCUCAACCUUGGAACUGCCUUUGAUACUGGAAGUCUUGAGUCCGGGAGAGGUGAGUGGAACUGCGAGUGUAGAGGUGAAAUUCGUAGAUAUUCGCAAGAACACCAGUGGC
RNAcentral lists this ribosomal RNA (611 nucleotides) under uncultured bacterium. RNAcentral's name for it is "bacterial SSU rRNA". It matches the Rfam family "Bacterial small subunit ribosomal RNA", at positions 84 to 716 of the family's 1533-position model. The record is from RNAcentral.